GGGGACCUACGGGGCCCCUUAACCAACGGACCCUCUGGUCCAAAGCAAACGGAAGACAGAAA
RNAcentral lists this non-coding RNA (62 nucleotides) under unclassified sequences. RNAcentral describes it as "L2-Alphaproteobacteria ribosomal protein leader". It matches the Rfam family "L2-Alphaproteobacteria ribosomal protein leader". The record is from RNAcentral.